GAGUUUGAUUAUGGCUCAGAUUGAACGCUGGCGGCAGGCUUAACACAUGCAAGUCGAACGGUAGCAGGAGAAAGCUUGCUUUCUUGCUGACGAGUGGCGGACGGGUGAGUAAUGCUUGGGAAUCUGGCUUAUGGAGGGGGAUAACUACUGGAAACGGUAGCUAAUACCGCGUAAUAUCGAGAGAUUAAAGACUGGGACCUACGGGCCAGUUGCCAUAAGAUGAGCCCAAGUGGGAUUAGGUAGUUGGUGGGGUAAAGGCCUACCAAGCCCGCGAUCUCUAGCUGGUCUGAGAGGAUGACCAGCCACACUGGAACUGAGACACGGUCCAGACUCCUACGGGAGGCAGCAGUGGGGAAUAUUGCACAAUGGGGGGAACCCUGAUGCAGCCAUGCCGCGUGAAUGAAGAAGGCCUUCGGGUUGUAAAGUUCUUUCGGUGGUGAGGAAGGUAUCAACUUUAAUAGAGUUGGU
RNAcentral lists this ribosomal RNA (468 nucleotides) under Pasteurellaceae bacterium canine oral taxon 080. RNAcentral describes it as "bacterial SSU rRNA". It matches the Rfam family "Bacterial small subunit ribosomal RNA", at positions 9 to 472 of the family's 1533-position model. The record is from RNAcentral. Lineage: Bacteria; Pseudomonadati; Pseudomonadota; Gammaproteobacteria; Pasteurellales; Pasteurellaceae.